Molecule: ribosomal RNA, 253 nt
Filed under: uncultured bacterium
Lineage: Bacteria
Description: partial 16S ribosomal RNA
Rfam family: Bacterial small subunit ribosomal RNA
Source: RNAcentral
UACGAAGGUCCCAAGCGUUGUUCGGAAUCACUGGGCGUAAAGGGUGCGUAGGCGGCGUGGUAAGUCAGAUGUGAAAUCCCGAGGCUCAACCUCGGAACUGCAUCCGAUACUGCCAUGCUUGAGGACUGGAGAGGUGACUGGAAUUCUCGGUGUAGCAGUGAAAUGCGUAGAGAUCGAGAGGAACACUCGUGGCGAAAGCGAGUCACUGGACAGUAUCUGACGCUGAUGCACGAAGGCUAGGGGAGCGAAAGGG